CCUACGGGUGGCAGCAGUGGGGAAUAUUGCACAAUGGGGGAAACCCUGAUGCAGCGACGCCGCGUGAGUGAAGAAGUAUUUCGGUACGUAAAGCUCUAUCAGCAGGGAAGAAAAUGACGGUACCUGACUAAGAAGCCCCGGCUAACUACGUGCCAGCAGCCGCGGUAAUGCGCAGGGGGCAAGCGUUAUCCGGAUUUACUGGGUGUAAAGGGAGCGUAGACGGCAGCGCAAGUCUGGAGUGAAAUCCCAUGGCUUAACCAUGGAACUGCUUUGGAAACUGUGCAGCUAGAGUGCAGGAGAGGUAAGAGGAAUUCCUAGUGUAGUGGUGAAAUGCGUAGAUAUUAGGAGGAAAACCAGUGGCGAAGGCGGCUUACUGGACUGUAACUGACGUUGAGGCACGAAAGCGUGGGUAUCGAACAGGAUUAGAUACCCCAGUAGUC
Molecule: ribosomal RNA, 440 nt
Filed under: uncultured bacterium
Lineage: Bacteria
Description: partial 16S ribosomal RNA
Rfam family: Bacterial small subunit ribosomal RNA
Source: RNAcentral